UCGAGAAUUUUUCUCAAUGGGGGAAACCCUGAAGGAGCGACGCCGCGUGGAGGAUGAAGGUCUUCGGGUUGUAAACUCCUGUCAUUUGAGAACAAGUGCCGGCAAGUAACUACUGCCGGCUUGAUAGUAUCAGAAGAGGAAGAGACGGCUAACUCUGUGCCAGCAGCCGCGGUAAUACAGAGGUCUCAAGCGUUGUUCGGAUUCAUUGGGCGUAAAGGGUGUGUAGGUGGCGCCGUAAGUCGGGUGUGAAAUCUCGGGGCUUAACUCCGAAACUGCAUUCGAUACUACGGUGCUUGAGGACUGGAGAGGAGACUGGAAUUCAUGGUGUAGCAGUGAAAUGCGUAGAGAUCAUGAGGAAGACCAGUGGCGAAGGCGGGUCUCUGGACAGUUCCUGACACUGAGACACGAAGGCCAGGGGAGCAAACGG
Molecule: ribosomal RNA, 427 nt
Filed under: uncultured bacterium
Lineage: Bacteria
Description: bacterial SSU rRNA
Rfam family: Bacterial small subunit ribosomal RNA
Source: RNAcentral